Molecule: non-coding RNA, 27 nt
Filed under: Mus musculus (house mouse)
Lineage: Eukaryota; Metazoa; Chordata; Mammalia; Rodentia; Muridae
Also listed under: 1 other name
Source: RNAcentral
CCCGAUGCCGACGCUCAUCAGACCCCA